CUUUCGACCGGGACGAUAAUGACGGUACCGGUAGAAGAAGCUCCGGCUAACUUCGUGCCAGCAGCCGCGGUAAUACGAAGGGGGCAAGCGUUGUUCGGAAUUACUGGGCGUAAAGGGUGCGUAGGCGGUUUUGUAAGUCUGGUGUGAAAUCUCCGGGCUCAACUCGGAGGCUGCCCCUGAAACUGUCGGGCUUGAGUGUGGGAGAGGUGAGUGGAAUUCCCGGUGUAGCGGUGAAAUGCGUAGAUAUCAGGAGGAACACCUGUGGCGAAGGCGGCUCACUGGACCAUUACUGACGCUGAGGCACGAAAGCUUGGGGAGCAAACAGGAUUAGAUACCCUGGUAGUCCACGCCCUAAACGAUGAUUGCUUGGUGUG
RNAcentral lists this ribosomal RNA (374 nucleotides) under uncultured Acidobacteriota bacterium. RNAcentral describes it as "bacterial SSU rRNA". It matches the Rfam family "Bacterial small subunit ribosomal RNA", at positions 433 to 824 of the family's 1533-position model. RNAcentral also lists the same sequence under 1 other name. The record is from RNAcentral. Lineage: Bacteria; Pseudomonadati; Acidobacteriota.